RNAcentral lists this ribosomal RNA (496 nucleotides) under uncultured bacterium. RNAcentral describes it as "partial 16S ribosomal RNA". It matches the Rfam family "Bacterial small subunit ribosomal RNA", at positions 28 to 507 of the family's 1533-position model. The record is from RNAcentral.
GAUGAACGCUGGCGGCGUGCCUAAUACAUGCAAGUCGAGCGAACAGACGAGGAGCUUGCUCCUCUGACGUUAGCGGCGGACGGGUGAGUAACACGUGGAUAACCUACCUAUAAGACUGGGAUAACUUCGGGAAACCGGAGCUAAUACCGGAUAAUAUAUUGAACCGCAUGGUUCAAUAGUGAAAGACGGUUUUGCUGUCACUUAUAGAUGGAUCCGCGCCGCAUUAGCUAGUUGGUAAGGUAACGGCUUACCAAGGCGACGAUGCGUAGCCGACCUGAGAGGGGGAUCGGCCACCCUGGAACUGAGACACGGUCCGAACUCCUACGGGAGGCAGCAGUAGGAAUUCUUCCGAAAUGGGCGAAAGCCUGACGGGGCAACGCCGCGUGAGUGAUGAAGGUCUUCGGUUCGUAAAACUCUGUUAUUAGGAAAGAACAAAUGUGUAAUUAACUAUGCACGUCUGACGGUACCUAAUCAGAAAGCCACGGCUAACUACGUG